CAGUCGAGCGAUGAAGCACCUUCGGGUGUGGAUUAGCGGCGAACGGGUGAGGAACACGUGAGGAAUCUGCCUUCCACUCUGGGAUAACUCCGGGAAACCGGGGCUAAUACCGGAUACUUUCAACUGGCGGCAUCGCCGGUUGAAGAAAGUUUUUCGGUGGAAGAUGACCUCGCGGCCUAUCAGCUUGUUGGUGAGGUAAUGGCUCACCAAGGCAACGACGGGUAGCCGGCCUGAGAGGGCGACCGGCCACACUGGGACUGAGACACGGCCCAGACUCCUACGGGAGGCAGCAGUGGGGAAUAUUGGGCAAUGGAGGAAACUCUGACCCAGCGACGCCGCGUGAGGGAUGAAGGCCUUCGGGUUGUAAACCUCUUUCAGCAGGGAAUAAGCGAAAGUGAAGGUACCUGCAGAAGAAGCACCGGCUAACUAUGUGCCAGCAGCCGCGGUAAUACAUAGGGUGCAAGCGUUGUCCGGAAUUAUUGGGCGUAAAGAGCUCGUAGGUGGUCGAUCACGUCGGAUGUGAAAUUCUGAGGCUUAACCUCGGACCUGCAUUCGAUACGGGUUGACUAGAGUGUGGUAGGGGAGACUGGAAUUCCUGGUGUAGCGGUGGAAUGCGCAGAUAUCAGGAGGAACACCGAUGGCGAAGGCAGGUCUCUGGGCCAUUACUGACACUGAGGAGCGAAAGCGUGGGGAGCGAACAGGAUUAGAUACCCUGGUAGUCCACGCCGUAAACGGUGGGCGCUAGUUGUGGGAACCUUCCACGGUUUCUGCGACGCAGCUAACGCAUUAAGCGCCCCGCCUGGGGAGUACGGUCGCAAGACUAAAACUCAAAGAAAUUGACGGG
Molecule: ribosomal RNA, 844 nt
Filed under: uncultured bacterium
Lineage: Bacteria
Description: bacterial SSU rRNA
Rfam family: Bacterial small subunit ribosomal RNA
Source: RNAcentral